This 301-nucleotide ribosomal RNA is filed under the name uncultured bacterium. RNAcentral describes it as "partial 16S ribosomal RNA". It matches the Rfam family "Bacterial small subunit ribosomal RNA", at positions 509 to 809 of the family's 1533-position model. The record is from RNAcentral.
CAGUCGCCGCGGUAAUACGUAGGUGGCGAGCGUUGUCCGGAAUUAUUGGGCGUAAAGGGAGCGCAGGCGGACAUAUAAGUCCAUCUUAAAAGUGCGGGGCUCAACCCCGUGAGGGGAUGGAAACUGUAUGCCUUGAGUGCAGGAGAGGAAAGCGGAAUUCCCAGUGUAGCGGUGAAAUGCGUAGAUAUUGGGAGGAACACCAGUGGCGAAGGCGGCUUUCUGGACUGUAACUGACGCUGAGGCUCGAAAGCCAGGGGAGCGAACGGGAUUAGAUACCCGUGUAGUCCCUGUCUCUUAUACA